This 1259-nucleotide long non-coding RNA is filed under the name Gallus gallus (chicken). Its description in RNAcentral is "long non-coding RNA NONGGAT009381". The record is from RNAcentral. Lineage: Eukaryota; Metazoa; Chordata; Aves; Galliformes; Phasianidae.
CUUACAAGUAAUGAAGGAAAGCAUGGCAAAAAUCCAGUUACCAGUCCUGCUCCUUCACUUCAGCUUCUCACCCUGGUCUGUACACUGGGCUGGGACAGGGACAAAUUCUGACCUGAUUCUGGCAUUCUUCAGCUGACAAGGUGUCAGCUCCAAAAGCUAGCUCUUGAUCUCCCAUUCAAGGUUUUUAUGGAUGAGUGUAAAGCUGAAGCAAGCUGCUCUGUGCAGUGGUUAAGGUUUUAAUAGCUCUUAAGUAAUAAAACUAGCAUAACAGCUUCCAAAAAGAGUACCAGGGAAUCAACUCUAAAAGUAAUAAAGGUCUUUACUUUGUUAGAGUGAAUUGCAAAGGGUUUUGUGGCUUGUGGUUGCACUGAGCAGAGGUUCUGGGGACCCUUCGGAUGAAGUUUUUACUGCACAGUUGUGAUUGCAGCCAAAUAGACUUCACAUCUUUGGGAGUCCCCUGCUGAGAAAGGGCAAGCAUGGCUGUGCAUCGUGCUGUUAUGUAGCACAGGGACUUCAGGUUGCUCCUAGGGUUGCAAAGACCCUCCUUUAAGGUGUGAGCAAGUUGAUGGAUAUUACAGGCACAUCUUCAAUGUUUUCUUUUGAAUAUUUUGCUUUUAUCCAGUAUAUAGGCACACUGUGUUCUCCUGGGGGGUGCGGGGAUGUUUGGGAAGAACCCAGCCACUGUUUGUCCAAUCAGCAUCAGCCAGGAGAGAAUGGAGGCUCAAAAAGAUCCCCGACCGUGCUCAGCCUACAGACACAUUAUUGAGAAGAUACAGCAGGUGUGGUUUAGAUGAAAAUCACAGGCCUGUAGGUCCCAGCUUGCCACUGACAUGUGCUCGAUGCUUGGGAGCUGGCAAGGCCACCAAAGGCAGUCUGUGCCUGUCCUUGCUGUGUUCAGCCAUGACAAUGCCCAUGUUGCUGCCUGGUGAUAAUCAAGUGUAGCGCUCCUUGCCCUUGCGCAGGAGGGUCUCAGGCAGAGCACUUGGUGGGGCUCGGAAGUUGAACAUGGAUGGCAUUGACUGGAUCAUCUCAUUGGCCUCUGGCUUCAAGGCACUGAAACUCUCCAGCUUUUCGGCCAUGUUCUCUAUAGCUGACAUCUGCAAUGGAAGAUGGCACAACAGCCGGCAUGGUGAGGACCGCCGUGGCUUUGUGUCUGUGGUGAAAAUGCUAAGCAUAAAGGGCACAGACUUCCAAGGAAACAGACUAAAUAGCAAAUGUAGAGCUGCAGUCACAAAAACUACUGGGCAGAGUAGGCAAUG